Molecule: long non-coding RNA, 1091 nt
Filed under: Equus caballus (horse)
Lineage: Eukaryota; Metazoa; Chordata; Mammalia; Perissodactyla; Equidae
Description: lncRNA (ENSECAG00000053096.1)
Source: RNAcentral
GGGCAGCGUUCUGGGAGGUCACCUACGACGUGUGUGCCCUCUCUUUACACCUGAAUCCCCUGUUGAACCUCAUGAUCCAGACAACAGAGGGAGAACUCAGAAGUUGUCCAGAAAGGAGCCAUUUUUCCAAGAGACACAUGAUUUUGUGCGGGUUGAGUUCCUAGUUUUAGUGCCAGAAAAACAAAAAUUUUUAAAGGUGAAGACUCACCUUGCUGACGUGAGAUUUUCCUUGUACUAAAAGUCCUGAUCUUCAUUCUUUUAUGGUUUGGCAGGGCUGAUCUUACCGUUAGAGGAAAGAGUGUCUCAUGGUUGCAGGAGCUGAGCCAAAAACUCCACUGACCAAACCCAACACUGCUCUUCCCCAGGCACGAUGCCUGCAUUCCACGUUUGCAGAGAGUUCUCACUGUGGGUUCCACUGAUGAGUCUAGGAGCGCCCUGUUGAAAUUCAAAGUUAUCAAGUGGGGUGGGCGUGGGGAAGGAAGAGGGCAUCAAACAAUUCUCAGACAUCACUACUUGAGACAUUAGGUUAACAGAUAAUAUCCUAGAAUUUAUCUGCCAGGGUUCUAAGGUGUUAACCUCAGAACCCGUAGCUUUACUGGGAUAGGGAGCACAGAGAGGAGUUACAGAAGGCUUGUGUCAGAGGAUGCAUCUUGAUCAGAUGACAUAUUCCAUCAGGGACACCAGAACCUUUGAGGACAUCAGAGUCAGAGCUGCAUUCCUUCUCUUCAUCCUCAGUAACUACUGAGCUUUACUUGGGGUUUAGUCCUGGUGAUUCAGAGGGAAUCAAGAGAGACCCAGUGCCUGCCUUGCCAGAGUUGGGAUCAGACACGCGGAGCAGCAAUUACAUCCCGAGGGAGAAGGAGGCUCUGCGUGUUGGGCCACCACUAUGCUGGCCAUGAAUACAGCUCUAAGCAGGAUUUCAAAGUGGGUCACACCAUACUAAUGGCUCCAGGUGUGGUAAAGAGAAACCUCAAGCACAGAAAUGCAGAAAUGGCACUUUAUGUACAUCAUUAGACAAGGCGAUAACACACCCCUUCAGCCAAGAGUCUUCAGAUGCUGGAUAGACCACAUGCAGCACUUGGCGGUGCCAC